Molecule: non-coding RNA, 71 nt
Organism: Gymnothorax javanicus (giant moray)
Lineage: Eukaryota; Metazoa; Chordata; Actinopteri; Anguilliformes; Muraenidae
Source: the annotation of a GenBank genome assembly
GGCAUGGUGGCGCAGUGGUUAGCAUUGCUACCUCACAAAGAAGGUUGUGGGUACGAAUCCGGCCUGGGGCC